AUUUAUAUAAUUUAAUUAAGAAUAUUGCACUGAAGAUGCAAAAGUGAUAUCUUUAUCUAUAAAUA
This 65-nucleotide transfer RNA is filed under the name Tetraloides nigrifrons. RNAcentral's name for it is "tRNA-Phe". Lineage: Eukaryota; Metazoa; Arthropoda; Malacostraca; Decapoda; Tetraliidae. The record is from RNAcentral.